RNAcentral lists this unclassified non-coding RNA (3094 nucleotides) under Eurytemora carolleeae. Its description in RNAcentral is "major facilitator superfamily domain-containing protein 1". The record is from RNAcentral. Lineage: Eukaryota; Metazoa; Arthropoda; Copepoda; Calanoida; Temoridae.
ACUAUUUAAUUUCAGAAUUAGAGAAUGAUCGGCCCGUGAUUCUUGUAUAUUUUUGAUGUUAUGAAAAUUUACAUAUUAUUAUUUUUUCUCUUUUGUUCCUUUUAUCAACAACUUAAAUUUUUCCAGGAUUGAGAAUGGCGAGUUGUCCUACGGAAAGAGAACCUUUGUUAGGACGGGGAAGAAGUUUACCAGAUCGGCGGUCAUUCCUUCCUCUUGGAUCUUCGCCUGCCGAUCGUCGUUCUCUUUUACCUAUAUCUGAAGCUCCUAAACGCGGGAGAACAAUAUCAGAAUGCCCACGUAGAAUUCCUAUCAAUGAACCGAACCAAGAUGAAGUACAAAGAGAGCGAACCUUUUCUCCCACUGAUAUAGAAGUAGACCUUGAAGGAUGGCAGGGAAGCUGUCUGUGUCAUCCACAAGCUCUGCUCCACAGGGUGAUUGCUUUGAUCCUGAUGUGUCUCCUCGGGUUCGGAAAUUACUUCUGUUUUGAUAAUCCUGGAGCUCUGCAGUCGGAGUUGAAGGAUGCAAUGAACAUUACGACGGCGCAGUUUGCAAACCUGUACGCCUGGUACUCCUGGCCAAACGUUGUUCUUCCAAUCAUUGGCGGAUUUUUAAUGGACAGGGUUUUCGGAAUAAGAUUGGGAACUAUGCUCUUCGCAUUCAUCAUCAUCUUUGGGCAGAUCAUCUUCAGUAUGGGCGGGUUCCUGGACAGGCUCUGGGUCAUGGAGGUCGGGAGGUUCGUGUUUGGGAUUGGAGGAGAAUCCCUUUCCGUGGCACAGAACACCUACGCUGUUUCAUGGUUUAAGGGAAAGGAGCUCAACAUGGUUUUUGGAUUUCAGUUGAGUAUUGCUCGGGUUGGCUCCACAGUGAAUUUUCUUCUCAUGGGUCCUCUCUUCCAAUACAUAAAGAACCAGACCUUAGAGAGGGACGCAGCCAUGAACCACAGUAUGAACCUGUUCUGGGAGGAAAACCUCUUCGAAGAAAGUUAUCUGAAUGGGUCCCAGGAGCUAGAUCUAAUCGCUGAAAGAGAUAGUUAUGGUCCAACGGUUAUAGGAUGGACUCUUCUUACUGCUGGAGGUUUUUGUGUUGCAUCAUUUUUCUGCAGUGUUAUCCUUGCCUGGAUGGAUAAGAGAAGGAACGAAAUCUUGAACAUUGUUGAACCUGGAGACUCCGGAGAAGUCGUUAAAAUCACCGAUGUCAAGGAUUUUCCGUUAUCCUUCUGGUUUUUGUGCCUAGCCUGCCUCUCCUACUACGGGGUUAUAUUCCCCUUCGUGUCCCUGGCCAAGGACUUCUUCAAGGUCGAGUUUGAUAUGGACGGGAACUCUGCUAACUUUAUUACAGGUUUGAUUUAUCUUGUAUCUGCUCCUGCAUCUCCCCUUCUUGGUUUACUCAUGGAUAAAACAGGACGGAAUAUAUCAUGGGUAGUUCUGGCCAUUAUAUCUAGUAUUGGAUGUAUCUGCCUUCUUGCAUUCACCAGUGUGAAUCCGUUCAUAUCUAUCUCAUGUUUGGGAGUAGCAUACAGCCUUCUAGCCUCGGCACUUUGGCCGAUCGCUGCUCUGAUCAUACCUGAAUAUCAGCUGGGGACCGCAUACGGUCUUAUGCAGGCAAUUCAAAACUUGGGGUGUGCUCUGAUUGUGAUGGCCGCUGGAUUGAUCGCAGACGAGUAUGGAUACACGUGGUUAAUGUUGUUCUUCCUCGGCUGGUUGUUCCUGUCUCUGACCUCGACUGUCUGUAUCUGGUUCUGCGACUGUUCUACGACCGGUUAUCUUAACAUGUCGAUAAGUGAGAGACAGAUAUUCGACGAUGCAAGGCAAGCUGCCCUGGACGCUGAGAGAGCUAGACAGAUAGAUGGACAUCGGUUGCUUAGCAGACCAAGAACUGACGCAAAUAUACGCAAUCGAUAUCUAUCCAAGAUCGGAGCUCAUCUCCCGGCUCAUCUUGGUCAAGGUCGUCUCAUAGUUCCAGCUCAUCAGAGAUAACUAGACGACUGUCCAGAGCACAUUUGUCAGAUAAUAGUUGUAUAGUAGUGUAUAGAUUAUAAUUUGAAUCUAGGGAAAUUAAUUGAGAUUAUUUACAAUUAAUAAUUUAUUAGUGACUAACAGGGAUUUGGCUUAAUAGUUGUACUUGAGAAAUAAACAGAAAUUAUGAAGAAAAUAAUUAAAUAACAGUUUAAAUUUUUUAAACUAUACUGUGAUAGUUUUAACUAAAAUUCGCCCAACUACUAAAAUUCACUAUUUUUUUUUCUCAAUACUUCAUAUUAUAUAUCUUCAGAUCUGAAUUUCAUCCACAAGAUAAAGAAAAUCUAAGAAAUCAGUUCAGUGCUUUCCAUUUUUAUUUUUCUAUAAGAUAAAGAGGUAAAAAACCCAUGAAGCAACUUCAUGUGUGCAAACCGGAAACUACUCCGAUUGUAUAUUUUAAAUUGUGUGCCUUAUCUCAACUUUUUAGUAAACAUAUUUAAAUAUUAAAAUAAUGUUAUAUUUGUAAUAACAGUUAUUUUGUAUGCCUGGAAUUAUAUAGUUUUGGAAUCUGGAAUUAAUAUUAACGGAUAUCAAAUUGCAUCAUCGACUUAGCAACGUAAACAAACCAAAACUGCUUAAGACAGUUUUAAGAACAUUCUUUUUUUUCUAGUUCAUUUUUGAUUUAAAAUUUAAAAUUUUUGACUUUAAAUGAAUUUCUUACUUUCACUACACGGGCAUUAGUAGAUUACGAAAUUAUUAUUAAAAAUCUUUAAAGAUAUUUUCUUCAUCAGAAUACCGACGUUAAAUAAUUUUUAUAAAGUUAUUUUCUAAUAAUUUGACAAUACCAAAAAAUCUCUUCAGGUUCUUGCUUUAAACUCGAGAGUCUUUUCGUUGGUUGUAUAACGCUAAGUUUACACAAGAUAAAAAAUAUAUUUCGGGACGGAACAUCGGUCAAAUAAUUUGUAUCCCAAAGAUAUUCACUCUUCACACAAUUACACUAAAAAUACUCUUGAGCUAACAUGACCGUUAACAUUUUGUUUCAGUUUUCACUUCAAAAAAGAUCUUUUGCUUUUUAUGAACAUAAAAAUAUUUCCAUUCUUUGAUACUCACCUCAUGCAGAUAUUUAUAAAUAAAACAAU